RNAcentral lists this ribosomal RNA (494 nucleotides) under uncultured bacterium. RNAcentral's name for it is "partial 16S ribosomal RNA". It matches the Rfam family "Bacterial small subunit ribosomal RNA", at positions 28 to 507 of the family's 1533-position model. The record is from RNAcentral.
GACGAACGCUGGCGGCGUGCUUAACACAUGCGAGUCGAACGGAAAGGCCUGCUUUCCCUUGUGGAUUGCGGGUACUCGAGUGGCGAACGGGUGAGUAACACGUGAGUGAUCUGCCCCCAACUUGGGUAUAAGCCUGGGAAACUGGGUCUAAUUCCCGAUAGGACUGCAGGGUGGUGCCUGUGGUGGAAAACGAUGUUCUAGUGGUUGGGGAUGAGCUCGCGGCCUAUCAGCUUGUUGGUGGGGUAAUGGCCUACCAAGGCGGCGACGGGUAGCCGGCCUGAGAGGGUGGACGGCCACAUUGGGACUGAGAUACGGCCCAGACUCCUACGGGAGGCAGCAGUGGGGAAUAUUGCACAAUGGGCGGAAGCCUGAUGCAGCGACGCCGCGUGGGGGAUGACGGCCUUCGGGUUGUAAACUCCUCUCGACCGCGAGGAAGCCACCUGGUUGGAAGGGUGGUGACGGUAGUGGUAGAAGAAGCACCGGCUAACUACGUG